AGAAUCAACGCUGGCGGCGUGCCUAACACAUGCAAGUCGAACGCGAAAGGGGAGCAAUCCCUGAGUAGAGUGGCAAACGGGUGAGUAACACGUGGGUGACCUGCCUCAGAGUGGGGGAUAACGUCCCGAAAGGGACGCUAAUACCGCAUAACAUCCUGCCUUUGGAAAGGCGGAGAUCAAAGCCGGGAUCGCAAGACCUGGCGCUUGGAGACGGGGCCGCGUCUGAUUAGCUAGUUGGUAGGUAAUCGGCCUACCGAAGGCAACGAUCAGUAUCCGGCCUGAGAGGGCGACGGACACGCGUAGGACUGGAGACGACGGCCAGUACUCCGUACGGG
This 335-nucleotide ribosomal RNA is filed under the name uncultured soil bacterium. RNAcentral's name for it is "bacterial SSU rRNA". It matches the Rfam family "Bacterial small subunit ribosomal RNA", at positions 26 to 345 of the family's 1533-position model. The record is from RNAcentral.